CCUACGGGAGGCAGCAGUAGGGAAUAUUGGGCAAUGGAGGCAACUCUGACCCAGCCAUGCCGCGUGAACGAAGAAGGCGCUAUGCGUCGUAAAGUUCUUUUAGAGGGGGCGAAAACACUUGAUUCAUCAAGUACUGACGGUACCUUCGGAAUAAGCACCGGCUAACUCUGUGCCAGCAGCCGCGGUAAUACAGAGGGUGCAAGCGUUAUCCGGAAUCACUGGGUUUAAAGGGUGCGUAGGCGGGAUUAUAAGUCAGAGGUGAAAUCUCGUCGCUUAACGACGGAAUUGCCUUUGAUACUGUUUUCUGAAAUUUGUUGAGGUUGGCGGAAUGAGACAUGUAGCGGUGAAAUGCUUAGAUAUGUCUUAGAACACCGAUUGCGAAGGCAGCUGACUGGACAAUAUUUGACGCUGAGGCACGAAAGCGUGGGGAUCAAACAGGUAUUAGACUACCCGUGGUACGUCCGACCGACCCGUAAACCGUAACGUAGUUUACGUUACGUCGUUGUUUUAGGUUUUUACGGUUAACGUUAGUAGGUGGUACGGUAACGGACGGAAACGGACGGUAGUAAGUAAACCGUAACCGUACCGGGUACGGGUACGGUACCGGACCGGACGGUAAGGUAACGUAACGUUAAACGAAAGUAAGUUACGGUUACGGUACGUUAGGACGUUACGCCGACGGACGGACGACCGACGGGAGGGAGGAGG
RNAcentral lists this ribosomal RNA (708 nucleotides) under uncultured bacterium. Its description in RNAcentral is "bacterial SSU rRNA". The stretch from base 1 to 501 matches the Rfam family "Bacterial small subunit ribosomal RNA", at positions 338 to 873 of the family's 1533-position model. The record is from RNAcentral.